RNAcentral lists this ribosomal RNA (253 nucleotides) under uncultured bacterium. RNAcentral describes it as "partial 16S ribosomal RNA". It matches the Rfam family "Bacterial small subunit ribosomal RNA", at positions 524 to 776 of the family's 1533-position model. The record is from RNAcentral.
UACGGAGGGUGCAAGCGUUAAUCGGAAUUACUGGGCGUAAAGCGCACGCAGGUGGCUGAGUCAGUCGAUUGUGAAAGCCCUGGGCUUAACCUGGGAAUUGCAGUCGAUACUACUCAGCUAGAGUAUGGGAGAGGGUAGUGGAAUUCCCGGUGUAGCGGUGAAAUGCGUAGAUAUCGGGAGGAACAUCAGUGGCGAAGGCGGCUACCUGGCCCAAUACUGACACUCAGGUGCGACAGCGUGGGGAUCAAACAGG